AAGCUACGCUAGCACAAAUUUAACAAAUACCGCGCGCGAACACAAAUAAUUCUACGAUCCAAUAAAAUAAAUCAUCGCAAUACAUGCAGUUGAACUACUCCAAUAAAUAAAUUACCGCAAUACAUGCAGUUGAACUACUCCUGCCGACAACUUUUAAUGAUACUUAAUAUAAUAAAUAUGCAAGUAAACGAUGAAAACAAAUAUGUACUUACCAAUCUUACAACAUGGCCGCCUCAACUAAUUCCUGCUGCAAAUAAAGACUAAAAACACAAGCAACAAAACAAAACGGGCUAAACUUCUAAUUACAUAUGCAACACUCGCAACAAAACUUUCUAAUAAAAGUGCAAAACCCUAAGUAAAAACAAAAUAAAUACGCUAAACAACCAUAAUUAUAAAUAAAUAAUCGAUUUAACAAAGCAAAUAAUAAAAACACUUAACAAUAAAUUAAUAAAUAAAACAAAUGUUAAAAUGGAUAGACAAAACAAAUAAAUAAACUUAUAACUAAUACACGAUAUUUCAAUAAUAUACCCACCUCGCUAUACACGCUACUGAGUGAAUCUUGCAGUCAAAUCUAACAAACAAAAAAUAAAUAAAUAAUAAUAAUAAAUCCAAAAACUUAAAUAUAAACAAAGUUAAAGCCCAUAGCAAGCUAAUAAUAAAUUAAUAUUCUUACUAAUAAAACCAACAAUAAAUAAAAAUCUCAAAAAAAAAUCAAGCAAAGCAAAUAAAUAAACAAUCACGAUAUAAGAAAUUCUAAAUAAAGACGAACACUAUGGAAAGAAACAAAACUAGCCUCUCUCCUGGAUCCACGGAGUACUUACAACCUGGACAUAGCUACAAAUAAGAGCAUCGACAGCAGCGCCUUCUUCUGUCUUCCCCUCCGGGCCACUGAAGACUGGAUGACAGCGACUGAUGACGCCCCUAGAGUUAUCAAAUCAACAAUACAACUAACAAACCAGCUAAAUGUAAUUAUAUUUAAGAAUAGUAAUCCAAAUUAAAUUUAAAGAAUAGUAAUCCAAAUUGAAUUUAAAGAAUAGUAAUCUAAAUUGAAUUUAACGAAGAAAAUCUGACUUAGUCUUUACUCUUCCCCACCAAAUUAAAUCUGUAUAAAUAACUACAACUUUACUAGAUAGAUAUAUAUAUGUAUAUAAAAAAGAAAACACUCAAUUAUUUGUAAAAUUCAAACUUUAUUAAUAAACACUUAUAUUAAGUUUCGCCUACUACUAGCUUAUAAUACUUACCACAUAAGUGAAUUGUAAAUAAGCUGCCAACUAAUUUCUAGAAAGUACUAACGCAAAGCACUGAGAAAUGAAUAAAGACACCCUGUUCCCUCUUCUCUCACCUUUACGCUGCUGGGCAGCCUAAAGCUUGAGGCGAGAAAAAGCAGGGCAAUUGUGUAUGUGAUUCCCUCGCAUGCAGGCUGAAA
Long non-coding RNA from Drosophila mojavensis, 1426 nucleotides. RefSeq lists it as uncharacterized. The record is from RefSeq and is a predicted model, not a curated record. Lineage: Eukaryota; Metazoa; Arthropoda; Insecta; Diptera; Drosophilidae. The transcript has 2 exons.